Molecule: ribosomal RNA, 417 nt
Filed under: uncultured Gammaproteobacteria bacterium
Lineage: Bacteria; Pseudomonadati; Pseudomonadota; Gammaproteobacteria
Description: bacterial SSU rRNA
Rfam family: Bacterial small subunit ribosomal RNA
Source: RNAcentral
GAGUUUGAUCAUGGCUCAGAUUGAACGCUGGCGGCAUGCCUUACACAUGCAAGUCGAACGGGAACCUGGGGCUUGCUCCAGGGGAGAGUGGCGCACGGGUGAAUAACGCGUAGGUAAUGUUCCUAUUGGCCGAGGAUAACCUGCCGAAAGGCGGGCUAAUACUCGAUAAGUUCCCUUGGGGUUCGCCUUGGGGGAAGAAAGCAGGGCAACUUGCACCGAUAGAUCAGCCUGCGUCCCAUCAGCUUGUUGGUGAGGUAACGGCUCACCAAGGCUACGACGGGUAGCUGGUCUGAGAGGAUGAUCAGCCACACUGGGACUGAGACACGGCCCAGACUCCUACGGGAGGCAGCAGUGGGGAAUAUUGGACAAUGGGCGCAAGCCUGAUCCAGCCAUGCCGCGUGAGUGAAGAAGGCCUUC